UAUUAGAGCUCAAUAUGAUUAACCAGAAAAAUGGAACUUGGCAUUUUAUGUGGCAACUUUCCAUAAUAUAUAAUUGGAACAAAAUGGAAUGAACUGCUGGAUACUUAGAAAUGACCUUCUACUCCACUUCAUUUACUUUUUCAGAAUCGUCCAUUGAAUUUUUUUUUUUCCAAAUCCUAGCUAUGGAGACAUAACCCUCUCCAUAAACCUUGAGAGAAAGGUGUGAAGGUUGAAGAUUAUGAUAGUAGGUUAGAUGGUCUAGAUUGUUCAUAUUGUUAGUAUUAGUGCAUACUCUUGCAUUCCGUUGGUUUUAUAUUUCUAUGACUAUCGUUUAUUGCAUGUUGGUCAUCUUACUAUCUUGUUGUUUUUAUGCUGCUUCUACAUCGAUUCUCGGUGCUGGCUCUUCUUGUCUUUCUUUUCAUUAAUGUGGUACUUCUGCUUCCCUGAGCCGAGAGUGGUGCUUAUGCUUUUCUGAACCAAGAGCCUACUGGAAACAGUAUCUCUAUCUUCGUAAGGUAGUAAGGGUUGCAUAUAUAUUACCCUCCCUAGACUCCACUAUUUAAAAUUAUACUAAGUAAGUUGUUGUCGUCGUCAUCCUAGCCAUGUCUUACAGAAUGUCCAGAAAGUUAGAUGUGUGUGCUGCAAUAAUAUUGCUCCUGGGGAACAUCCUAUGCAAUUAGAAAGAUACAAAUAAGAUAAUGGAAACCAAAUCAUUUAGCAGAAUUUAUUAGCUGUUUGUUUUAUGCAUCAUUGCUUACCUAAGGCAUAGACUCCACAAAGCAAGCUGCUUGGUUGAGGGUAUAAGAUCCAAGUGAAGCAACACCAACAACAACAAUUACCCAGUAUACUCCCACCAGGUGGGGUCUGAGGAAGGUAAUAUGUAGACAGCCUUACCCCUACCCAAAAGGGCAGAGAGGCUGCUUCCAAG
Molecule: long non-coding RNA, 928 nt
Filed under: Nicotiana benthamiana
Lineage: Eukaryota; Viridiplantae; Streptophyta; Magnoliopsida; Solanales; Solanaceae
Description: long non-coding RNA (NBEN_LNC005575)
Source: RNAcentral